GUAGGGAAUCUUCGGCAAUGGACGAAAGUCUGACCGAGCAACGCCGCGUGAGUGAAGAAGGUUUUCGGAUCGUAAAACUCUGUUGGUAGAGAAGAACGUUGGUGAGAGUGGAAAGCUCAUCAAGUGACGGUAACUACCCAGAAAGGGACGGCUAACUACGUGCCAGCAGCCGCGGUAAUACGUAGGUCCCGAGCGUUGUCCGGAUUUAUUGGGCGUAAAGCGAGCGCAGGUGGUUUAUUAAGUCAGAAGUGAAAGGCAGUGGCUCAACCAUUGUGUGCAUUGGAAACUGGGAGACUUGAGUGCAGGAGAGGAGAGUGGAAUUCCAUGUGUAGCGGUGAAAUGCGUAGAUAUAUGGAGGAACACCGGAGGCGAAAGCGGCUCUCUGGCCUGUAACUGACACUGAGGCUCGAAAGCGUGGGGAGCAAACAGGAUUAGAAACCCCUGUAGUCC
RNAcentral lists this ribosomal RNA (450 nucleotides) under uncultured bacterium. RNAcentral's name for it is "partial 16S ribosomal RNA". It matches the Rfam family "Bacterial small subunit ribosomal RNA", at positions 354 to 796 of the family's 1533-position model. The record is from RNAcentral.